Molecule: ribosomal RNA, 529 nt
Filed under: uncultured bacterium
Lineage: Bacteria
Description: bacterial SSU rRNA
Rfam family: Bacterial small subunit ribosomal RNA
Source: RNAcentral
UCUUGACAUCCAGAGAACUUUCCAGAGAUGGAUGGGUGCCUUCGGGAACUCUGAGACAGGUGCUGCAUGGCUGUCGUCAGCUCGUGUUGUGAAAUGUUGGGUUAAGUCCGCAACGAGCGCAACCCCUAUCCUUUGUUGCCAGCGAUUCGGUCGGGAACUCAAAGGAGACUGCCGGUGAUAAACCGGAGGAAGGUGGGGAUGACGUCAAGUCAUCAUGGCCCUUACGAGUAGGGCUACACACGUGCUACAAUGGCGUAUACAAAGAGAAGCGACCUCGCGAGAGCAAGCGGACCUCAUAAAGUACGUCGUAGUCCGGAUUGGAGUCUGCAACUCGACUCCAUGAAGUCGGAAUCGCUAGUAAUCGUAGAUCAGAAUGCUACGGUGAAUACGUUCCCGGGCCUUGUACACACCGCCCGUCACACCAUGGGAGUGGGUUGCAAAAGAAGUAGAUAGCUUAACCUUCGGGAGGGCGUUUACCACUUUGUGAUUCAUGACUGGGGUGAAGUCGUAACAAGGUAGGCGUAGCGAG